This is a small nucleolar RNA of Euleptes europaea (tarantolino), 137 nucleotides long. RefSeq annotates it as small nucleolar RNA SNORA1. The transcript has a single exon. NCBI's taxonomy places the organism in Eukaryota, Metazoa, Chordata, Lepidosauria, Squamata, Sphaerodactylidae. The record is from RefSeq and is a predicted model, not a curated record.
UGCCUUGUUGGUACAGCAAGAACAGGCACACACCUCCUUUUGUGCCUGAACUUAGCAACGAGGCCACAGAAAACACAGGCUAAGCUUCCAUCAUUGUGAGAUAAAUUACAGUGGUGACAAUGAGGCCUGUAAUAUCU